GACGAAUCAUCUGGAAAGAUGAAUCAAAGAAGGUAAUAAUCCUGUAGUCGAAAAUGUUGUCUCUCUUGAGUGGAUCCUGAGUACGACGGAGCACGUGAAAUUCCGUCGGAAUCUGGGAGGACCAUCUCCUAAGGCUAAAUACUCUCUAGUGACCGAUAGUGAACCAGUACCGUGAGGGAAAGGUGAAAAGCACCCCGGAAGGGGAGUGAAAUAGAACCUGAAACCGUGUGCUUACAAGUAGUCAGAGCCCGUUAAUGGGUGAUGGCGUGCCUUUUGUAGAAUGAACCGGCGAGUUACGAUUUGAUGCAAGGUUAAGCAGUAAAUGUGGAGCCGUAGCGAAAGCGAGUCUGAAUAGGGCGUUUAGUAUUUGGUCGUAGACCCGAAACCAGGUGAUCUACCCUUGGUCAGGUUGAAGUUCAGGUAACACUGAAUGGAGGACCGAACCGACUUACGUUGAAAAGUGAGCGGAUGAACUGAGGGUAGCGGAGAAAUUCCAAUCGAACCUGGAGAUAGCUGGUUCUCUCCGAAAUAGCUUUAGGGCUAGCCUCAAGUGAUGAUUAUUGGAGGUAGAGCACUGUUUGGACGAGGGGCCCCUCUCGGGUUACCGAAUUCAGACAAACUCCGAAUGCCAAUUAAUUUAACUUGGGAGUCAGAACAUGGGUGAUAAGGUCCGUGUUCGAAAGGGAAACAGCCCAGACCACCAGCUAAGGUCCCAAAAUAUAUGUUAAGUGGAAAAGGAUGUGGCGUUGCCCAGACAACUAGGAUGUUGGCUUAGAAGCAGCCAUCAUUUAAAGAGUGCGUAAUAGCUCACUAGUCGAGUGACACUGCGCCGAAAAUGUACCGGGGCUAAACAUAUUACCGAAGCUGUGGAUUGUCCUUUGGACAAUGGUAGGAGAGCGUUCUAAGGGCGUUGAAGCAUGAUCGUAAGGACAUGUGGAGCGCUUAGAAGUGAGAAUGCCGGUGUGAGUAGCGAAAGACGGGUGAGAAUCCCGUCCACCGAUUGACUAAGGUUUCCAGAGGAAGGCUCGUCCGCUCUGGGUUAGUCGGGUCCUAAGCUGAGGCCGACAGGCGUAGGCGAUGGAUAACAGGUUGAUAUUCCUGUACCACCUAUAAUCGUUUUAAUCGAUGGGGGGACGCAGUAGGAUAGGCGAAGCGUGCGAUUGGAUUGCACGUCUAAGCAGUAAGGCUGAGUAUUAGGCAAAUCCGGUACUCAUUAAGGCUGAGCUGUGAUGGGGAGAAGACAUUGUGUCUUCGAGUCGUUGAUUUCACACUGCCGAGAAAAGCCUCUAGAUAGAAAAUAGGUGCCCGUACCGCAAACCGACACAGGUAGUCAAGAUGAGAAUUCUAAGGUGAGCGAGCGAACUCUCGUUAAGGAACUCGGCAAAAUGACCCCGUAACUUCGGGAGAAGGGGUGCUCUUUAGGGUUAACGCCCAGAAGAGCCGCAGUGAAUAGGCCCAAGCGACUGUUUAUCAAAAACACAGGUCUCUGCUAAACCGUAAGGUGAUGUAUAGGGGCUGACGCCUGCCCGGUGCUGGAAGGUUAAGAGGAGUGGUUAGCUUCUGCGAAGCUACGAAUCGAAGCCCCAGUAAACGGCGGCCGUAACUAUAACGGUCCUAAGGUAGCGAAAUUCCUUGUCGGGUAAGUUCCGACCCGCACGAAAGGCGUAACGAUUUGGGCACUGUCUCAACGAGAGACUCGGUGAAAUCAUAGUACCUGUGAAGAUGCAGGUUACCCGCGACAGGACGGAAAGACCCCGUGGAGCUUUACUGUAGCCUGAUAUUGAAAUUCGGCACAGCUUGUACAGGAUAGGUAGGAGCCUUUGAAACGUGAGCGCUAGCUUACGUGGAGGCGCUGGUGGGAUACUACCCUAGCUGUGUUGGCUUUCUAACCCGCACCACUUAUCGUGGUGGGAGACAGUGUCAGGCGGGCAGUUUGACUGGGGCGGUCGCCUCCUAAAAGGUAACGGAGGCGCUCAAAGGUUCCCUCAGAAUGGUUGGAAAUCAUUCAUAGAGUGUAAAGGCAUAAGGGAGCUUGACUGCGAGACCUACAAGUCGAGCAGGGUCGAAAGACGGACUUAGUGAUCCGGUGGUUCCGCAUGGAAGGGCCAUCGCUCAACGGAUAAAAGCUACCCCGGGGAUAACAGGCUUAUCUCCCCCAAGAGUUCACAUCGACGGGGAGGUUUGGCACCUCGAUGUCGGCUCAUCGCAUCCUGGGGCUGUAGUCGGUCCCAAGGGUUGGGCUGUUCGCCCAUUAAAGCGGUACGCGAGCUGGGUUCAGAACGUCGUGAGACAGUUCGGUCCCUAUCCGUCGUGGGCGUAGGAAAUUUGAGAGGAGCUGUCCUUAGUACGAGAGGACCGGGAUGGACAUACCUCUGGUGUACCAGUUGUCGUGCCAACGGCAUAGCUGGGUAGCUAUGUGUGGACGGGAUAAGUGCUGAAAGCAUCUAAGCAUGAAGCCCCCCUCAAGAUGAGAUUUCCCAACUUCGGUUAUAAGAUCCCUCAAAGAUGAUGAGGUUAAUAGGUUCGAGGUGGAAGCAUGGUGACAUGUGGAGCUGACGAAUACUAA
RNAcentral lists this ribosomal RNA (2566 nucleotides) under Staphylococcus aureus. Its description in RNAcentral is "partial 23S ribosomal RNA". It matches the Rfam family "Bacterial large subunit ribosomal RNA", at positions 332 to 2904 of the family's 2925-position model. The record is from RNAcentral. Lineage: Bacteria; Bacillati; Bacillota; Bacilli; Caryophanales; Staphylococcaceae.